This 720-nucleotide ribosomal RNA is filed under the name uncultured bacterium. Its description in RNAcentral is "bacterial SSU rRNA". It matches the Rfam family "Bacterial small subunit ribosomal RNA", at positions 83 to 834 of the family's 1533-position model. The record is from RNAcentral.
UAGCAAUACCUAGUGGCGGACGGGUGAGUAACGCGUGGGAAUCUGCCUUUAGAUGGGGGAUAACGGGUCGAAAGACUCGCUAAUACCGCAUAUGACGAAAGUUGAAAGGAGUAAUCCGUCUAAAGAUGAGCCCGCGUCCGAUUAGCUAGUUGGUAGAGUAAAAGCCUACCAAGGCGACGAUCGGUAGCUGGUCUGAGAGGAUGAUCAGCCACAAUGGGACUGAGACACGGCCCAUACUCCUACGGGAGGCAGCAGUGGGGAAUUUUACGCAAUGGGCGAAAGCCUGACGUAGCGACACCGCGUGAGCGAAGAAGCCCCUUGGGGUGUAAAGCUCUGUCAGCUGGAACGAAAAAAAUGACGGUACCAGCAGAGGAAGCAUCGGCUAACUACGUGCCAGCAGCCGCGGUAAGACGUAGGAUGCAAGCGUUGUCCGGAUUUAUUGGGCGUAAAGAGUUCGUAGGUGGUUUGUUAAGUUUGGUGUUAAAGAUUGGGGCUCAACCCUGAAACUGCACUGAAUACUGGCAGACUCGAGUGUGGUAGAGGCUAGUGGAAUUCCCAGUGUAGCGGUGAAAUGCGUAGAUAUUGGGAAGAACACCGGUGGCGUAGGCGACUAGCUGGGCCAUAACUGACACUGAGGAACGAAAGCCAGGGGAGCGAAUGGGAUUAGAUACCCCAGUAGUCCUGGCCGUAAACGAUGGAUACUAGGCGUAUCGGGUAUCG